This 231-nucleotide ribosomal RNA is filed under the name uncultured bacterium. Its description in RNAcentral is "partial 16S ribosomal RNA". It matches the Rfam family "Bacterial small subunit ribosomal RNA", at positions 104 to 334 of the family's 1533-position model. The record is from RNAcentral.
CCCAGUGGGCGGGACGGGGUGAGUAACGCGUGGGUAUCUGUCUCUGGGUGGGGGAUAACCGUGGGAAACUACGGCUAAUACCGCAUGACACCUGAGGGUCAAAGGCGCAAGCCGCCUGGAGAGGAGCCCGCGUACGAUUAGCUUGUUGGCGGGGUAAUGGCCCACCAAGGCGACGAUCGUUAGCUGGUCUGAGAGGAUGACCAGCCACACUGGGACUGAGACACGGCCCAG